GACGGACGCUGGCGGCGUGCCUAAUACAUGCAAGUCGAGCGAAGUUUUUCUGGUGCUUGCACUAGAAAAACUUAGCGGCGAACGGGUGAGUAACACGUAAAGAACCUGCCUCAUAGACUGGGACAACUAUUGGAAACGAUAGCUAAUACCGGAUAACAGUAUUUCUCGCAUGAGAGAUAUUUAAAAGUUGGUUAUGCUAACACUAUGAGAUGGCUUUGCGGUGCAUUAGCUAGUUGGUGGGGUAAAGGCCCACCAAGGCGACGAUGCAUAGCCGACCUGAGAGGGUGAUCGGCCACACUGGGACUGAGACACGGCCCAGACUCCUACGGGAGGCAGCAGUAGGGAAUCUUCCGCAAUGGGCGAAAGCCUGACGGAGCAACGCCGCGUGAGUGAAGAAGGAUUUCGGUUCGUAAAGCUCUGUUGUUAGGGAAGAAUGGAUAUGUAGUAACUAUACAUGUAAGAGACGGUACCUAACCAGAAAGCCACGGCUAACUACGUG
RNAcentral lists this ribosomal RNA (499 nucleotides) under uncultured bacterium. Its description in RNAcentral is "partial 16S ribosomal RNA". It matches the Rfam family "Bacterial small subunit ribosomal RNA", at positions 28 to 507 of the family's 1533-position model. The record is from RNAcentral.